CCUUCGAUAGCUCAGUUGGUAGAGCGGAGGACUGUAGCGGUUACAACGGGCAUCCUUAGGUCGCUGGUUCAAAUCCGGCUCGAAGGA
Non-coding RNA from Larimichthys crocea (large yellow croaker), 87 nucleotides. NCBI's taxonomy places the organism in Eukaryota, Metazoa, Chordata, Actinopteri, Sciaenidae. The record is from Rfam.